This 1155-nucleotide long non-coding RNA is filed under the name Sus scrofa (pig). Its description in RNAcentral is "lncRNA (ENSSSCG00070015421.1)". Lineage: Eukaryota; Metazoa; Chordata; Mammalia; Artiodactyla; Suidae. The record is from RNAcentral.
GGCUUUUUGAUAAAAGCCAGAGUUGGAUAGAAGAAACUCAGACAAGAUAUUGAAACCUAUGUGGAAAUACUACCAGAGUGCUAGGCAGAGCACAGAUCUCUCUGGAGAUGUUCAACAUUCAGCUGAGUCUGCCUCUACAUUGAGCAAAGUUGAUGAAGGUACUAUAGCAGCUCCUGAACAUCCAACUGGGGUCAAGACAGUGCCAUUCUUCAGGGAGCUAACAAUUUAGUAGCAUGCGUGCUCUGAUGCUACCAAAGCUUAAUGCAAAUGCUGACACUGCAAUGGGAGCCUCAUCUCUUUAUGUCAGCUGUCAUUUCUUAAAAAAAAAAAAAAACCUACUAUAAAGAAAAUUGGCAAGCACUUGUUUUAGUAAUGAAAUGCAUUUUUCCGUGUGUCUAAGACAGUUGAAAUUAAAGUCUUUUGAGAAAAGCACCUGAAAACUCAGUGUACCUCCUGACUUGAUAAAUAAGGAUUUUAUUUCUAGGGAUGUGGCCCAUUUCACACUGGAAACCUGAAGGAUAGAAAUGGUAUUUUUUUUUAAAAAGGUAUAUCCUUUUUUAAAUGAAAAGCUGAAGUGAUCUUAAUUCCAGGUUGUCUUCUAAAUUGGGAAAUGUAGGGGGAGCAGGAAAGGUGAUUAUCAAGACCUCGGAACCUGAGGUCCUUGUUAUUUUGUAUGGCAGACAGCGUGCUCCCCUACCCCAGCAUCAUGCUUGGUCCAAGCAGGUCACAUGACUCCAGGCAGGCCAAUCAGGGCUAAUGAGAUUCGAUUCUGGCAAUUUGUUUGCAUUAUCAGGAAAGCCUGGGACUAUAGAGCUAACAGAUGAAUCCUGGUAACAUGCUCUGAGUCCUGAAUUAAGCUACACUUGAAACCUCAGGUCUGUUCCAUUAUUGUGAGUCAACAUACUCCCUCUCUCUGAGCCUAUUAGGUUUGGGUUUGAUGUCUUUGUAAUCAACUUUGGCAGACUCCUUGAACUUAAUAGGCUUAAACAAAUGUUUUAAGAGUAAACAUGUAGUGGCUUGAAUAUAGAAUCCUGUCUAUUUGCAAACAGUCAGACUUACUUGCAAAUAGCUGGAUGGACUACCCUUUUAAGAGAGUAAUUUGAAUCAUCAGCUUUGACUUGCGAUAAGGAGAAUAAAUAAAACUGUUUCCAUGCA